RNAcentral lists this long non-coding RNA (666 nucleotides) under Camelus dromedarius (Arabian camel). RNAcentral's name for it is "lncRNA (ENSCDRG00005003208.1)". Lineage: Eukaryota; Metazoa; Chordata; Mammalia; Artiodactyla; Camelidae. The record is from RNAcentral.
CAGAGAUUCACGCCCCACGAGCGGUCGCUAGUAUAGGGUAGAAAAGGUGAUUUCCUUUCGAUAAGAAAGUGCAUUUCUAGCGUAGGUUGGAAAGCCGACAGUCCGCAGUCCCUGGCAGUGGGAGGUUGUUUGAGGGGCGCUGCCGGGGGUGGGGGUGGGGCUGAGCGCUGGGUCAGCCCCUCCCCAACCUCCCCCAGCCUCGGGCCAGCCACGAAUGUGGGUGGUUGGGGGGUGAAGGCGGAGGACGGGUGAGGAAGGAAGGGGCUGGGAAAUGCGAAGAGAUUAUUCUGCCUCAGGAACUACAUAAUGGCCGGGAAGGACCGCCAAACAAGACUGCAACCAAUAGGAAGUUGUACGACGCUCCUACAUUUGACUCAACCACAGGAACAAUUGCACCAGAAGGGGCAAAAUGUCCCCCUAAGAGGAAGAGAAGAGAAAACAGCAAUUGGUUGAGUACAUGAAUUGUCAUCCAAACCAAGACUCCUUGAGAAUGGCAAAUGUCAAAUUGGAAAGCUGAGACAACAAGCAUAAACUGCACCAGCCCAGAUAAACUGGGACGUGUGAUCCCCCAACAGCACCCAUCUUGUGCGAGGUCCUAUUCUAAAUGCUUCAUAUGAAUUAAUUCUCAAAACCUUAUGAGGUAGGAAUUAUACUCAUUUUUCAGAU